This 499-nucleotide long non-coding RNA is filed under the name Nicotiana benthamiana. Its description in RNAcentral is "long non-coding RNA (NBEN_LNC019629)". The record is from RNAcentral. Lineage: Eukaryota; Viridiplantae; Streptophyta; Magnoliopsida; Solanales; Solanaceae.
AGAGUGCUAGCUUGGCCCAAUUCUGGAAUAUUCUAGACAACUCUGGCCCAUUUGAGCUUGUAAAUACUCUAGAAUUCUCCAUAGAAUUCCAGCACAUGUACGUAGCUAGAAAGUGAUAGAACUCUCUAGACUCUCUAGAAUUCUCCAUAGAAUUCCAGCACAUGGACAUAGCUAGAAAGUGAUAGAACUCUCUAGACUCUCUAGAGCUUGGCAAGCCUCCCCUAUAAAUAUGGGAUGGCAUUUGGCAUUUGAACAACUCGAAGAAAAUACUACAACAAGCAACUCAAGCAUUGUAAUUCUCUCUUAACUGCAAUACAAGUUUCUUAUUUGGCUCCGUUGCUUUCUUCUCUAGUUCGAGAAGCUCUAGGCUUACUUAGCAACAUUCGGCAAAGUUGUCUAAGUGCCGCACGGGUUAGCUGCGCAAAAUACUCAUCCCGUGACAUUCGGCUCUCUUGUUUACUUUUUACACCUUUUUACGUAUUUUAGCUAGCAGUCCAUG